UGAAACUCUUUAGCUUCUCUAA
This 22-nucleotide microRNA is filed under the name Tribolium castaneum (red flour beetle). Its description in RNAcentral is "tca-miR-3858b-3p". Lineage: Eukaryota; Metazoa; Arthropoda; Insecta; Coleoptera; Tenebrionidae. The record is from miRBase by way of RNAcentral.